UUACGGGAAKCCCUCAGUAGMGGCGAGCGMACAGGGAYUAGCMCAGCACUGAAUCCCGCGGCCGUCUCGGUCGNCCGGGAAAUGUAGUGUUAGGGAGGGUCCGCCAUCCCGCGGUCGCGCGACGCGUCUAAGUCCUUCUUGAACGGGGCCACUUACCCAUAGAGGGUGCCAGGCCCGUAGUGACUGUCGCCGGCAACGGGAGGAUCUCUCCUCAGAGUCGGGUUGCUUGAGAGUGCAGCCCUAAGUGGGUGGUAAACUCCAUCUAAGGCUAAAUAUAACCACGAGACCGAUAGCGAACAAGUACCGUGAGGGAAAGUUGAAAAGAACUUUGAAGAGAGAGUUCAAUAGUACGUGAAACCGUUCAGGUGUAAACCUGAGAAACCCGAAAGGUCGAAUGGGAGAUUCAGCGCGUUUCGACGCUUGCGAGCGGUGCUCGCGUGACGSACGGCGUUCGCGCCGGUCGCACCUUCCGGCGACGACUCGCGGCGAACGCGUGCACUUCUMCCCUAGUAGGACGUCGCGACCCGWUGNGCGCCGGUCUAAGGGCACNGGUGGAGACCGGRCGGCGCUUCGGCGUUCCCGCUCGGACCCGCAGUUYCCGGCCGGCUCGCUCGACGGUACGACAGUGGUGCGGGGCCGCGAUUUUUUCGCGUCCGGCCCGUCGCAAGUGCGGACGGUAAUCUGGAUGUCGGACCUAGCGCCGACUCCGGAACCCGCCCUGCUGCUGGCGGCGGUGUCCUCGGACAGACCCCGAUACGCCGGUCGGCGACGCUUUAGCUUUGGGUACUUUCAGGACCCGUCUUGNAAACACGGACCAAGGAGUCUAGCAUGUGCGCNGAGUCAUUGGGACUUAGCGAAANCCUAAAGGNCGUAAUGAAANGUGAAGGMCGCCUUGCGCGCGCCUAGGGAGGAUGCGCCUUGCUUCGGCUCGGCGCCGCACUCCCGGGGCGUCUCGUGCUCAUCGCGAGCUGAGGCGCACCCAGAGCGUACACGCUGGGACCCGAAAGAUGGUGAACUAU
RNAcentral lists this ribosomal RNA (1019 nucleotides) under Amblyopinina gen. sp. New_Zealand_NHMD-JJS-65. RNAcentral describes it as "partial large subunit ribosomal RNA". It matches the Rfam family "Eukaryotic large subunit ribosomal RNA", at positions 66 to 834 of the family's 3401-position model. Lineage: Eukaryota; Metazoa; Arthropoda; Insecta; Coleoptera; Staphylinidae. The record is from RNAcentral.